Molecule: long non-coding RNA, 396 nt
Filed under: Nicotiana benthamiana
Lineage: Eukaryota; Viridiplantae; Streptophyta; Magnoliopsida; Solanales; Solanaceae
Description: long non-coding RNA (NBEN_LNC019301)
Source: RNAcentral
UUAGACUCUGGAUGGGCCGUUUAGUGAAUUUCACGGCCUUUCCCAAAAUAAUAUUGCAUUAGAAUCUUUAGGCACGAUUUAAUUAAAUUAUUUUCUUAAACUCGGGUGCGCAUCGAUGCGACCCAAAUCCAAAUCUCGAUGAAGUCGAAAUGUGUUGACAAUCACGGGCGCAUCGAUUGCAACGGGGUUCGAAAUGCGCUUUCACGACAUCAUAAAUCUUAUAAAAUAAAUAAUGAUAGAAAAUAGGUUCAUAAAAUGAGACGAGCCUCACCGAACAAAAUAAGUAAAUGUGGGGCCCUCAAUAAUUGGUUGUUAAAACUAAUUAUAAUCUGGGAGGGCCGUUUAGUGAACUUCACGACCUUCCCCAAAAUAAUAUUACGUCAGAACCUUUAGGAG